GUAGGUGGCAAGCGUUGUCCGGAAUUAUUGGGGCGUAAAGCGCGCGCAGGCGGUCCUUUAAGUCUGAUGUGAAAGCCCACGGGCUCAACCGUGGAGGUCAUUGGAAACUGGGGGACUUGAGUGCAGAAGAGAAGAGUGGAAUUCCACGUGUAGCGGUGAAAUGCGUAGAGAUGUGGAGGAACACCAGUGGCGAAGGCGACUCUUUGGUCUGUAACUGACGCUGAGGCGCGAAAGCGUGGGGAGCAAACAGGAUUAGAUACCCUGGUAGUCCACGCCGUAAACGAUGAGUGCUAAGUGUUAGAGGGUUUCCGCCCUUUAGUGCUGCAGCAAACGCAUUAAGCACUCCGCCUGGGGAGUACGGCCGCAAAGGCUG
Molecule: ribosomal RNA, 373 nt
Filed under: uncultured organism
Description: partial 16S ribosomal RNA
Rfam family: Bacterial small subunit ribosomal RNA
Source: RNAcentral